RNAcentral lists this long non-coding RNA (275 nucleotides) under Lathyrus oleraceus (garden pea). Its description in RNAcentral is "Pisum sativum (pea) long non-coding RNA (PSAT_LNC028266)". The record is from RNAcentral. Lineage: Eukaryota; Viridiplantae; Streptophyta; Magnoliopsida; Fabales; Fabaceae.
AUGAAGCAACAAAGAUGAAGAAGGAGAUGAAAGAGGGAGAAGAAGAAACCUAUAGGAAUAAGGAGAUGAAAGAGGGAGAAAUAGAAAUGUAUAAAAAUAAGGAGAUGAAAGAGAGAGAAGAAACAUGAAAUGAAAGAGUAGAACUAGAAUCACAUAAACUAAAUAACAUAUGACAAAGUAGUUGAUUCAAAUGAAAAAUUAUUGCAUAGGACUAAAAGAUAUUGAUUUGCAACCAACUAAGUGAUAUCAUUAGUUGAAAAAAAAUGUGUAUUGAA